Molecule: transfer RNA, 72 nt
Filed under: Ixodes scapularis (black-legged tick)
Lineage: Eukaryota; Metazoa; Arthropoda; Arachnida; Ixodida; Ixodidae
Description: tRNA-Gln for anticodon CUG
Rfam family: tRNA
About the family: Transfer RNA (tRNA) molecules are approximately 80 nucleotides in length. Their secondary structure includes four short double-helical elements and three loops (D, anti-codon, and T loops).
Source: RNAcentral
GGUCUCAUGGUGUAACGGUUAGCACUCUGGACUCUGAAUCCAGCAAUCUGAGUUCAAAUCUCGGUGAGACCU